Molecule: long non-coding RNA, 840 nt
Organism: Arachis duranensis
Lineage: Eukaryota; Viridiplantae; Streptophyta; Magnoliopsida; Fabales; Fabaceae
Exons: 6
Source: RefSeq, a predicted model, not a curated record
UAAUCACUAAGCCUCACAAGUUCCACUGCAUUAGAGCUCAAGUUUCAGGUUCAACAAAAAUUGAGGGGAUUCCUGAGAAAACAGAUUCCAAGGAUGAUAACUUAGUAUUUGUUGCUGGUGCUACUGGUAGAGUUGGUUCAAGAACUGUUAGAGAGCUUAUAAAACAUGGAUUUAAAGUAAGAACUGGAGUGAGGAGUGCUGAGAGAGCUGGUCCACUAAUCAAGAGUGUUGAGCAAAUGAAGCUUGAUGAUGGAACAAGUAGAGGGAAGAGUACUGGUUACUUCAUUGGGAAUAAAUAAAUUUGGUUUACCUGCAGCUAUUCUCAAGUGAGCAUUAAUGAAAUUCUUUCUGAUAUUAUCAUAUUUUAACAAGAAGUUCAAACUCAUAACCUAACACUAUCAACAGAAGACACUUUAUUUGGGGGUCAAGUAUCAAACCUUCAGGUGGCAGAACUUAUGGCAGUCAUGGCCAAGAACCCUGAUCUUGCAUAUUGUAAAAUAGUGGAGGUAGUAGCAGAGACAACUGCGCCGCUGACUCCCAGGGAGGAGCUUCUUGCAAAGAUAUCAUCUCAAAGACCUUACAUUUCUUCACCAAAGAAACCGGAUGCUACAGCCAUCAGUGAUCCGGCUCCCUCGGAACUUGCCAUUGCCACAGCCACUGAGAAGGAAACUGCACAACCAAAACCGGUUGCGAAAGAGUCACUUUCGCCCUUUUCCAAUUGCAUUAAGAGAUAUAAAGCAACACCACAUUACUCUAGUUGACUGGCUUGUAGAGAUUUGCAUAAUGUAAUUUUUCUCAUAUAAUACAAUGUUAUGAAUUAUAUAGCUGAUAAAUUUAGUA